GUUGUUGGAUGUUGAUAUUUAACCACUGUUAAUUUAUCCAUUUAUAUCGUUUGUAGGUUGUUGGUUGUUGCGCUGGCUUUUAUGGAGAGACUUGCUCAGCUUGUCAAGGAGGGUCUGAGUUUCCUUGUAACAAUAACGGGAAUUGCAGUGAUGGGUUAUACGGCGACGGCACGUGCACGUGUUUCCCAGGAUACACCGGAACUUCCUGUCAGCUCUGUAUUAACAGUACCGACAAUUCAACCACUGAAUGUGCUAGAUCAUGUGCGUACCACAACGGUGGAUGUCAUGAAAACGGAACGUGUCAUGAGUACGCCGGAAGUGUGACGUGUACUUGUCCCCAGGGGUUUGUGGGGGAUGGACACCACUGUGUUAGACCCUGCGAGGAGAACAACGGAGGGUGCCAUCAGUUUGCUGUUUGCAAAGAACUGAAUGAAAAUUCAACGGAAGUUGAUUGUUUCUGUCAAAGUCAAUACAAAGGCAACGGGCUUGUUUGCACGCUAAUACCUGAGAAACAAUCUGCAAGCAUGACGGCCGGUAUAACAGUGGGAGGAAUCAUUGGCUGUAUCAUCGUCGUCGGAUUAAUCUUCUUACUCAUCAUUGCAAUUAGAAGACAUAGACAUUCAACGGCAUUUUUAAACAAGGAG
This is a long non-coding RNA of Saccostrea cuccullata (small rock oyster), 644 nucleotides long. RefSeq lists it as uncharacterized. Lineage: Eukaryota; Metazoa; Mollusca; Bivalvia; Ostreida; Ostreidae. The record is from RefSeq and is a predicted model, not a curated record. The transcript has 6 exons.